AUUUCUGAAAACUAACCUUUGGUAUUUGGCUUGAAAUGCAGUUGGCAAAGAGCCCAAAGGAUUAAGUUCUCAGCAAUGCUGCUCCUGCUGCACACUAAUACUAAUUAGUCUCUAAAUGAAUGAACCUGGUGACUGAACUUGCAGCCCUAUAAGCAGAGGUCUGGACAUCCUUGGACAUCCUUGUGCCCCUCUGCUGCCCAGAGCCCACUGGGUUUUCCAUGUCUGUAUCCAGAACCACAGCAGAGAAUCACUGCAGCCCACUGCAUUCAGCUUAUUGCACCACAGCUGAUUCCAUUUUCAAAAAUUCAGCUUUGGCUCUUGAAAAACUUGGACUUCUGGAUGUCUGAAGACCUGCAUGGUAUGUACCUGCAGAUACGAAGUUUAAGAAGUGGGAACUGGAGCAGCUGAAACACCAGGGAACAAGAGGAAUGCUGUUCAAGGAAGGAUGGCUGCAGUCUGGAAUGGCAGGAGGAAGCUGAGGGGAGAAGGUUAAUGCCCAGGAGGAGGGUGUGGAAAUGCAAUUGGAGAGGAAAGAACAGCAGGAGCUGUGACCAAGAUUGUGGAAUUGUAGAUUUGUUGGGGGAAAUAGAAGCUAAAGAGAAGUUGGGUAGAAAGGGGUGAAGGAAGAUGGGGAAUGUAGGGAAGCAAGUAGUGAAGACAAAGAUUUCUAGGACAUUUGAAAUAUUAUAUAUAACAAAUGGAAAACUCAUGGAACCCCAGAAGGGGUUGCUUUAGCAGAGCAG
Molecule: long non-coding RNA, 743 nt
Filed under: Zonotrichia albicollis (white-throated sparrow)
Lineage: Eukaryota; Metazoa; Chordata; Aves; Passeriformes; Passerellidae
Description: lncRNA (ENSZALG00000011808.1)
Source: RNAcentral